This 603-nucleotide ribosomal RNA is filed under the name bacterium. Its description in RNAcentral is "bacterial SSU rRNA". It matches the Rfam family "Bacterial small subunit ribosomal RNA", at positions 56 to 647 of the family's 1533-position model. The record is from RNAcentral.
UGCCAAGUCGAACGGUAGCACAGAGGAGCUUGCUCCUUGGGUGACGAGUGGCGGACGGGUGAGUAAUGUCUGGGAAACUGCCCGAUGGAGGGGGAUAACUACUGGAAACGGUAGCUAAUACCGCAUAAUGUCGCAAGACCAAAGAGGGGGACCUUCGGGCCUCUUGCCAUCGGAUGUGCCCAGAUGGGAUUAGCUAGUAGGUGGGGUAACGGCUCACCUAGGCGACGAUCCCUAGCUGGUCUGAGAGGAUGACCAGCCACACUGGAACUGAGACACGGUCCAGACUCCUACGGGAGGCAGCAGUGGGGAAUAUUGCACAAUGGGCGCAAGCCUGAUGCAGCCAUGCCGCGUGUAUGAAGAAGGCCUUCGGGUUGUAAAGUACUUUCAGCGAGGAGGAAGGUGUUGAGGUUAAUAACCUCAGCAAUUGACGUUACUCGCAGAAGAAGCACCGGCUAACUCCGUGCCAGCAGCCGCGGUAAUACGGAGGGUGCAAGCGUUAAUCGGAAUUACUGGGCGUAAAGCGCACGCAGGCGGUCUGUCAAGUCGGAUGUGAAAUCCCCGGGCUCAACCUGGGAACUGCAUCCGAAACUGGCAGGCUAGAGU